This is a long non-coding RNA of Gossypium arboreum, 1026 nucleotides long. RefSeq lists it as uncharacterized. Lineage: Eukaryota; Viridiplantae; Streptophyta; Magnoliopsida; Malvales; Malvaceae. The transcript has 3 exons. The record is from RefSeq and is a predicted model, not a curated record.
UGGUAACCGUCCUAACACCUGCAAUUAAUUUUAUUUUUGACGGUUCCAAAGUGCAGAGAGAAGUGAAUAACAUUCCCUUUCAUCCUUCACAGUGACUCUCUUUCUCCGUUCCUUACCACUGCUUCACCUUCUUUAUUUUGGUUCUCUCGCUCUCUCCACUCCCUCCUCCAAGUAAAUGGACUCGCCCCCUCUCAGUGUUUCUUUCAAAUCUUGUGGGCUAACUCAUUGACCGAUCUUGGUAUAUGGUUGAAAAAGAUAUUUUGAAAUUUGUCUCUCAACUGAUGUAUAUAUCUGAUAUAAGCACCGAUUAACGAUUUAUCCAGAUGUGCUGACUAACAUUUCUUGAACUGUUGACAAUGAAUUGCCCUCAUUUAUUACUCGCACCCAACCCUAUUCUAUACCCGUUUGCACUGCUCGAUGGCAAGCAAUAGCUUUGGCAACGAAGGCUGACAAAACCGCUUCAUUGGUCUCCGCUCAUGAAAAUACCACUUCCCCUUCAGCAUUCCUUGCCAGAAUACCCGAAGCCGAUUGAAAUCUCUAUCCGUCAAAAGCGCUAUCAAAGUUGAUUUUAAUGGUUGAACCCGAUGCAAACUUACUCUCAUGGACCCUUAUGUUCCUGCCUCACCAGAUCGCCCACAACGUGCACAAGAAAAGCCAUCGUUGAGUGAUGGAACAUGCAUCAAAUACCCUAGGCAUACUCGAAACAAAUGAUCCACUAUUUCCUCCCUUUCACACCGAGGACAGCAUGUUGUGUUCACAAGAUUCUUGUAUUUCAUGUUAGCUAAUGUAGGCAAGUAAUUCCAAGAACUAUUCUAGAUUGUAAUUUUAAUUUUCCCAAGGAACUCCACAGCUUUUUGUAGAAAUCACUAGAAAUUGUUUGUAAAGCAUAAGCACUAAAAACCCAUGAAUUAUCUGUAAUAGUAUAUAAGUACUCCAGAUGGAGAACUCCCCUGAAGACUCACCACCCCACACCAGCCAAUCAUCAUGGGCCUCUUUUGCCAACAGAAUACGGAGGAUUUGGGUUGC